Molecule: ribosomal RNA, 301 nt
Filed under: uncultured Veillonellaceae bacterium
Lineage: Bacteria; Bacillati; Bacillota; Negativicutes; Veillonellales; Veillonellaceae
Description: partial 16S ribosomal RNA
Source: RNAcentral
GGAGUAUGGACCGUGUCUCAGUUCCAUUGUGGCCGUUCAUCCUCUCAGACCGGCUACCGAUCGUCGGCUUGGUAGGCUCUUACCCUACCAACUACCUAAUCGGACGCAGGCUCCUCGCAAAGCGAUAAAAUCUUUAAUAAGAACUCCAUGCGAAAUUCUUACAGCAUCCGGUAUUAGCGCCCCUUUCGGAACGUUGUCCCCGUCUUUGCGGCAGAUUACCUGCGCUUUACUCACCCGUUCGCCACUAAACCCGAAGGUUCCGUUCGACUUGCAUGUGUUAAGCACGCCGCCAGCGUUCAUC